Molecule: ribosomal RNA, 466 nt
Filed under: uncultured bacterium
Lineage: Bacteria
Description: partial 16S ribosomal RNA
Rfam family: Bacterial small subunit ribosomal RNA
Source: RNAcentral
GACGAACGCUGGCGGCGUGCUUAACACAUGCGAGUCGAACGGAAAGGCCCUGCUUUUGUGGGGUGCUCGAGUGGCGAACGGGUGAGUAACACGUGAGUAACCUGCCCUUGACUUUGGGAUAACUUCAGGAAACUGGGGCUAAUACCGGAUAGGAGCUCCUGCUGCAUGGUGGGGGUUGGAAAGUUUCGGCGGUUGGGAUGGACUCGCGGCUUAUCAGCUUGUUGGUGGGGUAGUGGCUUACCAAGGCUUUGACGGGUAGCCGGCCUGAGAGGGUGACCGGCCACAUUGGGACUGAGAUACGGCCCAGACUCCUACGGGAGGCAGCAGUGGGGAAUAUUGCACAAUGGGCGGAAGCCUGAUGCAGCAACGCCGCGUGCGGGAUGACGGCCUUCGGGUUGUAAACCGCUUUCGCCUGUGACGAAGCGUGAGUGACGGUAAUGGGUAAAGAAGCACCGGCUAACUACGU